UCUACGGGAGGCUGCAGUGGGGAAUAUUGGACAAUGGGGGCAACCCUGAUCCAGCCAUGCCGCGUGUGUGAAGAAGGCCCUCGGGUUGUAAAGCACUUUCAGUGAGGAAGAACGCCUGGUGGUUAAUACCCAUCAGGAAAGACAUCACUCACAGAAGAAGCACCGGCUAACUCCGUGCCAGCAGCCGCGGUAAUACGGAGGGUGCGAGCGUUAAUCGGAAUUACUGGGCGUAAAGCGCGCGUAGGUGGCUUGAUAAGCCGGUUGUGAAAGCCCCGGGCUCAACCUGGGAACGGCAUCCGGAACUGUCAAGCUAGAGUGCAGGAGAGGAAGGUAGAAUUCCCGGUGUAGCGGUGAAAUGCGUAGAGAUCGGGAGGAAUACCAGUGGCGAAGGCGGCCUUCUGGACUGACACUGACACUGAGGUGCGAAAGCGUGGGUAGCAAACAGGAUUAGAUACCCGGGUAGUC
RNAcentral lists this ribosomal RNA (465 nucleotides) under Vreelandella stevensii. Its description in RNAcentral is "partial 16S ribosomal RNA". It matches the Rfam family "Bacterial small subunit ribosomal RNA", at positions 338 to 795 of the family's 1533-position model. The record is from RNAcentral. Lineage: Bacteria; Pseudomonadati; Pseudomonadota; Gammaproteobacteria; Oceanospirillales; Halomonadaceae.